CGAAGGGAAGGGAAUGGUUGAUGGGAUGGGGGUGGAUGGGAUGAGGAAGCACCAGGAACCAGCAAGAGCAAGAAGCUAAGAAGCUGUUAGCAUCCUAGGAUUUUGACUGAGCCUGGAGAAGCCCAGAGCGCUGGAAAAGAGGAGCAGAAUGGAUCCCAGGAGGAGGAAAACCCAGUUCUUCCUCCAAGCCUCCCUUCUCUUGCCAGUGCCUCCCGCUGUGGAAGCCAGAAGUCACUGGAGCCUGGCAGUGGUGCACUGCGGUUGGCUCCCACAGGAACCCACCAGAGUGAAAGACACAGGCUUUCAGCACGAGAGGAGGAUCUGGAAACGCACCAGCCGCUGGUGGACAGGAGGACGCUGUGGCCUGCGGGAGGCUGCAGAGGAGACAGACCCUGCCUCCUAACUGGAGCA
This is a long non-coding RNA of Rhinopithecus roxellana (golden snub-nosed monkey), 411 nucleotides long. RefSeq lists it as uncharacterized. NCBI's taxonomy places the organism in Eukaryota, Metazoa, Chordata, Mammalia, Primates, Cercopithecidae. The record is from RefSeq and is a predicted model, not a curated record. The transcript is spliced from 3 exons.